Molecule: non-coding RNA, 148 nt
Filed under: Chlorocebus sabaeus (green monkey)
Lineage: Eukaryota; Metazoa; Chordata; Mammalia; Primates; Cercopithecidae
Source: Rfam by way of RNAcentral
GCUGGGCAUGGUGGCGCGUGCCUGUAAUCCCGGCUGCUCGGGAGGCUGAGGCAGGAGAAUCGCUUGAACCCAGGAGGCAGAGGUUGCAGUGAGCCGAGUUUGCACCACUGCACUCCAACCUGGGCGACAGAGCGAGACCCUGGCUCAA